ACAAACAAACCCACAAAGUUAAAUGGGAUCAUAUAAACAUUUAACAAGCAUGUCUGAUCCAGGUUGUUCAGCAGUUGUUUGAGUUUCUUUAUCCUGAAAUACUAAAAUUUGAAUCUUUAGGGAAUAAGAAGAAAAUAGAGAGCAUUGAGAAGCAGCAUCCAACUCAGCGCAUAUGCUUGGUUUACCGUACACAUUUGUCACUAGUGUCCAGGACCCAAAGCUCACAGGAUGGAAUGUGUUCAUGAGCAUACAUGGGUGUGCAUGCAUAUAGACAUAGCAUGCAAGGAACAGCCAUCACAGAAGUAGCUACCUGAACAAAGUUCUGAGUCUCUCAAGUGCUCAACAACCAGACGACAGGCCCCUUGGGCAGCUGCCACCAUGAUGACCCACAGU
RNAcentral lists this long non-coding RNA (393 nucleotides) under Chrysemys picta bellii (western painted turtle). RNAcentral describes it as "lncRNA (ENSCPBG00000007973.1)". Lineage: Eukaryota; Metazoa; Chordata; Testudines; Emydidae. The record is from RNAcentral.